RNAcentral lists this ribosomal RNA (443 nucleotides) under uncultured bacterium. RNAcentral's name for it is "partial 16S ribosomal RNA". It matches the Rfam family "Bacterial small subunit ribosomal RNA", at positions 338 to 795 of the family's 1533-position model. The record is from RNAcentral.
CCUACGGUGUACGGCAGUGGGGAAUAUUGGGCAAUGGGCGCAAGCCUGACCCAGCCACGCCGCGUGAAGGAAGAAGGCUUUCGGGUUGUAAACUUCUUUUCUCAGGGACGAAGCAAGUGACGGUACCUGUGGACUAAGCCACGGCUAACUACGUGCCAGCAGCCGCGGUAAUCCGUAGGUGGCAAGCGUUAUCCGGAUUUACUGGGUGUAAAGGGCGUGUAGGCGGGAAAGCAAGUCAGAUGUGAAAACCAUGGGCUCAACCUGUGGCCUGCAUUUGAAACUGGUUUUCUUGAGUACUGGAGAGGCAGACGGAAUUCGUAGUGGAGCGGUGAAAGGCGUAGAUAUUAGGAGGAACACCAGUGGCGAAGGCGGUCUGCUGGACAGCAACUGACGCUGAGGCGCGAAAGCGUGGGGAGCAAACAGGAUUAGAUACCCUCGUAGUC